AACGCUGGCGGCAGGCCUAACACAUGCAAGUCGAGCGCGCCUUCGGGUGACGCGGCGGACGGGUUAGUAACGCGUGGGAACGUGCCCUUCUCUACGGAAUAACCUCUGGAAACGGAGAGUAAUACCGUAUACGCCCUUUGGGGGAAAGAUUUAUCGGAGAAGGAUCGGCCCGCGUUAGAUUAGGUAGUUGGUGGGGUAACGGCCUACCAAGCCUACGAUCUAUAGCUGGUUUUAGAGGAUGAUCAGCAACACUGGGACUGAGACACGGCCCAGACUCCUACGGGAGGCAGCAGUGGGGAAUCUUAGACAAUGGGGGCAACCCUGAUCUAACCAUGCCGCGUGAGUGAUGAAGGCCUUAGGGUCGUAAAGCUCUUUCGCCUGUGAUGAUAAAUGACAGUAGCAGGUAAAGAAACCCCCGGCUAACUCCGUGCCU
Molecule: ribosomal RNA, 433 nt
Filed under: uncultured Alphaproteobacteria bacterium
Lineage: Bacteria; Pseudomonadati; Pseudomonadota; Alphaproteobacteria
Description: bacterial SSU rRNA
Rfam family: Bacterial small subunit ribosomal RNA
Source: RNAcentral